Molecule: transfer RNA, 71 nt
Filed under: Syngnathoides biaculeatus (alligator pipefish)
Lineage: Eukaryota; Metazoa; Chordata; Actinopteri; Syngnathiformes; Syngnathidae
Description: tRNA-Leu
Rfam family: tRNA
About the family: Transfer RNA (tRNA) molecules are approximately 80 nucleotides in length.
Source: RNAcentral
UGCUUAGAAGGAUAACAGCUCAUCCGUUGGUCUUAGGAACCAAAAACUCUUGGUGCAAAUCCAAGCAGCAG